CCUACGGGAGGCUGCAGUGAGGAAUAUUGGUCAAUGGGCGAGAGCCUGAACCAGCCAAGUCGCGUGAGGGAGUACUGCCCUAUGGGUUGUAAACCUCUUUUGUCGGGGAGCAAAAGCCGGACGUGUCCGGCUGUGAGAGUACCCGAAGAAAAAGACUCGGCUAACUCCUUGCCAGCAGCCGCGGUAAUACGGAGGAUGCGAGCGGUAUCCGGAUUUAUUGGGUUUAAAGGGUGCGCAGGCGGAUUUUUAAGUAAGAGGUAAAAUCGUGGGGCUCAACCCCAUCCAGCCGUUGAAACUGGGGAUCUAGAGUGUGCGAGAGGUAUGCGGAAUGCGUGGUGUAGCGGUGAAAUGCAUAGAUAUCACGCAGAACCCCGAUUGCGAAGGCAGCAUACCGGUGCACAACUGACGCUCAGGCACGAAAGCGUGGGUAUCGAACAGGAUUAGAUACCCCAGUAGUC
Molecule: ribosomal RNA, 458 nt
Filed under: uncultured bacterium
Lineage: Bacteria
Description: partial 16S ribosomal RNA
Rfam family: Bacterial small subunit ribosomal RNA
Source: RNAcentral